UUUUUGUAUAGCUUCUCAAUAUUAUAACUACACCUUUGGCAAGUUUGAGCCAAAAUUCAUUCAAAAAUGCUCAAAAAAAAUGGCUCAAAAUAUAACCAUCAAUAAUUUGGUUCACUUACUUCCUUAAUUUGCAAGCUUUGACUUCGGCCAGCCAUUUCUUCCUCAUUUCAGAUCUAAUUUCAUCAAAUCUUAUACAAUAGUUGAAGCCCUUUAAGUCAACUUUUCAACCCCACCUUCCGAUUGUUAAAUG
Molecule: long non-coding RNA, 250 nt
Filed under: Physcomitrium patens
Lineage: Eukaryota; Viridiplantae; Streptophyta; Bryopsida; Funariales; Funariaceae
Description: long non-coding RNA (PPAT_LNC009358)
Source: RNAcentral